This 503-nucleotide ribosomal RNA is filed under the name uncultured bacterium. RNAcentral describes it as "bacterial SSU rRNA". It matches the Rfam family "Bacterial small subunit ribosomal RNA", at positions 15 to 507 of the family's 1533-position model. The record is from RNAcentral.
GAUCCUGGCUCAGGAUGAACGCUAGCUACAGGCUUAACACAUGCAAGUCGAGGGGAAACGAUAGAGAAAGCUUGCUUUUUCUAGGCGUCGACCGGCGCACGGGUGAGUAACGCGUAUCCAACCUGCCCAUCACUUGGGGAUAACCUUGCGAAAGUAAGACUAAUACCCAAUGACGUCUCUAGAAGACAUCUGAAAGAGAUUAAAGAUUUAUCGGUGAUGGAUGGGGAUGCGUCUGAUUAGCUUGUUGGCGGGUAACGGCCCACCAAGGCGACGAUCAGUAGGGGUUCUGAGAGGAAGGUCCCCCACAUUGGAACUGAGACACGGUCCAAACUCCUACGGGAGGCAGCAGUGAGGAAUAUUGGUCAAUGGACGAGAGUCUGAACCAGCCAAGCAGCGUGCAGGAAGACGGCCCUAUGGGUUGUAAACUGCUUUUAUAAGGGAAUAAAGUGAGUCUCGUGAGACUUUUGCAUGUACCUUAUGAAUAAGGACCGGCUAAUUCCGUG